GGGCCCUUAGCUCAUUCGGUUAGAGCAACUGACUCAUAAUCAGUAGGUGGCUGGUUCGAUUCCAGCAGGGCCCA
RNAcentral lists this transfer RNA (74 nucleotides) under Sporocytophaga myxococcoides. It matches the Rfam family "tRNA". From Rfam's summary of the family: Transfer RNA (tRNA) molecules are approximately 80 nucleotides in length. The record is from Rfam by way of RNAcentral. Lineage: Bacteria; Pseudomonadati; Bacteroidota; Cytophagia; Cytophagales; Cytophagaceae. RNAcentral also lists the same sequence under 1 other name.